AUGGCUUUGAUCUCCGUCCUCAUCUGGACUCUCCUCUGCUGCUGCUUCACAGAGUCCAGAGGCCAGUGCACAGCAACUCAGCCUGCAGCAGUGAGAUCUACUCUGGGAGGAUCUGCAACCAUCAGCUGUAGGACCAGUCAGAAUGUUCAUGAUGGGAUCUACUUAGCCUGGUUCCAACAGCGAGAUGGAGAAACUCCCAAACUUCUUAUUACCAGGUCUACUUAUAGAGAAUCAGGGAUUCCAGGUCGUUUUACAGGCAGUGGAUCAAACUCUGACUUCACUCUGACCAUCAGUGGAGUUCAGGCUGAAGAUGCAGCAGUUUACUACUGUCAGAAUGUAUUCACUUUCAGUACUGGAUGUUCAUUCACACAGUGA
Scomber japonicus (chub mackerel) is the source of this 375-nucleotide non-coding RNA. The record is from the annotation of a RefSeq genome assembly. NCBI's taxonomy places the organism in Eukaryota, Metazoa, Chordata, Actinopteri, Scombriformes, Scombridae.